RNAcentral lists this transfer RNA (67 nucleotides) under Sphaerius sp. BT0074. RNAcentral describes it as "tRNA-Ser". Lineage: Eukaryota; Metazoa; Arthropoda; Insecta; Coleoptera; Sphaeriusidae. The record is from RNAcentral.
AAUUAAUGAACUUGUAUAAGUAUUUGUUUUGAAAACAAAAUAAAGAAGUAUAAUCUUCUAUUAAUUU